RNAcentral lists this ribosomal RNA (497 nucleotides) under uncultured bacterium. RNAcentral describes it as "partial 16S ribosomal RNA". It matches the Rfam family "Bacterial small subunit ribosomal RNA", at positions 28 to 507 of the family's 1533-position model. The record is from RNAcentral.
GAUGAACGCUGGCGGCGUGCCUAAUACAUGCAAGUCGAGCGAACAGACGAGGAGCUUGCUCCUAUGGCGUUAGCGGCGGACGGGUGAGUAACACGUGGAUAACCUACCUAUAAGCCGGGGAUAACUUCGGGAAACCAGAGCUAAUACCGGAUAAUAUAUUGAACCGCAUGGUUCAAUAGUGAAAGACGGAAUUGCUGUCCCUUAUAGAUGGAUCCCGGCCUCAUUAGCAAUUUGGUAAGGUAACGGCUAACCAAGGCAACGUGCCGUAGCCGACCUGAGAGGUUGACCGGCCCCAUUGGAACUGGACCCCGCUCCAGCCUCCUACGGGAGGCAGCGGUAGGGAAUCUUCCGCAAUGGGCGAAAGCCUGACGGAGCAACGCCGCGUGGGGGAGGAAGGUCUUCGGUUCUUAAACCUCUGUUAUUAGGGAAGAACAAAUGUGGAAUUAACUACUCACGUCUUGACGGUACCUAAUCAGAAAGCCACGGCUAACUACGUG